Molecule: non-coding RNA, 77 nt
Organism: Podarcis lilfordi (Lilford's wall lizard)
Lineage: Eukaryota; Metazoa; Chordata; Lepidosauria; Squamata; Lacertidae
Source: the annotation of a GenBank genome assembly
GCCCACUGGAUAGCUCAGAUGGUUACAGAGUGGUGCUGAUAAUGCCAAGGUCACAGGUUCAAUCCCCAUAUAGGACA